RNAcentral lists this ribosomal RNA (466 nucleotides) under uncultured bacterium. Its description in RNAcentral is "partial 16S ribosomal RNA". It matches the Rfam family "Bacterial small subunit ribosomal RNA", at positions 28 to 507 of the family's 1533-position model. The record is from RNAcentral.
GAUGAACGCUGGCGGCGUGCUUAACACAUGCAAGUCGAACGAUGAAGCCCAGCUUGUUGGGUGUAUUAGUGGCGAACGGGUGAGUAACACGCGAGUAACCUGCCCUUGACUCUGUGGUAAGAGCUGGAAACGCUGGCUAAUAUCGCAGAUGAGCGCUCACCCCACGGUGAGUUGCUGGAAAGAAUUCCGGUCAGGGAUGGACUCGCGGCCUAUCAGGUCGUUGGUGGGGUAUCGGCUCACCAAGCCGACGACGGGUAGCCGGCCUGAGAGGGUGACCGGCCACACUGGGACUGAGACACGGCCCAGACUCCUACGGGAGGCAGCAGUGGGGAAUAUUGCACAAUGGGCGGAAGCCUGAUGCAGCAACGCCGCGUGAGGGACGAAGGCCUUCGGGUCGUAAACCUCUUUUGGCAGGGAAGAAGCGAAAGUGACGGUAACUGCAGAAAAAGCACCGGCUAACUACGUG